Molecule: unclassified non-coding RNA, 208 nt
Filed under: Hevea brasiliensis (rubber tree)
Lineage: Eukaryota; Viridiplantae; Streptophyta; Magnoliopsida; Malpighiales; Euphorbiaceae
Source: RNAcentral
GGCAGAAUCAUGAUGAUCGAAACUAGGGUUAGGGUUUGAGGACGAAUUCAGCUUCUUCGACUGGCGGAAAUUGGGGUGGGACUUCCUCAUGUAGACCUGCUCCGGCCACUGCGGCGGUUCAUUACUCCUUGCCAGGAUUGCGGAAGCCAUACACACGCCGGCCGGAGAUCGCCGUCAGAAGCGUGAUCCGGUCUGACUUGGGAAGGCG